UACGUAGGGACCGAGCGUUGUCCGGAAUCAUUGGGCGUAAAGGGUGCGUAGGUGGCUAGGUAAGUCGGAUGUGAAAUCUCGGGGCUCAACCCCGAAACUGCAUUCGAUACUGCCUGGCUAGAGUACUGGAGAGGAGAUUGGAACUUACGGUGUAGCAGUGAAAUGCGUAGAUAUCGUAAGGAAGACCAGUGGCGAAGGCGGGUCUCUGGGCAACAACUGACGCUGAGGAGCGAAAGCGUGGGGAGCGAACAGG
This 253-nucleotide ribosomal RNA is filed under the name uncultured bacterium. RNAcentral's name for it is "partial 16S ribosomal RNA". It matches the Rfam family "Bacterial small subunit ribosomal RNA", at positions 524 to 776 of the family's 1533-position model. The record is from RNAcentral.